RNAcentral lists this ribosomal RNA (563 nucleotides) under uncultured bacterium. Its description in RNAcentral is "partial 16S ribosomal RNA". It matches the Rfam family "Bacterial small subunit ribosomal RNA", at positions 355 to 1375 of the family's 1533-position model. The record is from RNAcentral.
UGGGGAAUAUUGGACAAUGGGGCAACCCUGAUCCAGCCAUGCCGCGUGAGUGAUGAAGGCCCUAGGGUUGUAAAGCUCUUUUGUGCGGGAAGAUAAUGACGGUACCGCAAGAAUAAGCCCCGGCUAACUUCGUGCCAGCAGCCGCGGUAAUACGAAGGGGGCUAGCGUUGCUCGGAAUCACUGGGCGUAAAGGGUGCGUAGGCGGGUUUCUAAGUCAGAGGUGAAAGCCUGGAGCUCAACUCCAGAACUGCCUUUGAUACUGGAAGUCUUGAGUAUGGCAGAGGUGAGUGGAACUGCGAGUGUAGAGGUGAAAUUCGUAGAUAUUCGCAAGAACACCAGUGGCGAAGGCGGCUCACUGGGCCAUUACUGACGCUGAGGCACGAAAGCGUGGGGAGCAAAACAGGAUUAGAUACCCUGGUAGUCCACGCCGUAAACGAUGAAUGCCAGCCGUUAGUGGGUUUUACUCACUAGUGGCGCAGCUAACGCUUUUAAGCAUUCCGCCUGGGGAGUACGGUCNCAAGAUUAAAAACUCAAAGGAAUUGACGGGGUCAUAGCUGUUUCCU